RNAcentral lists this ribosomal RNA (49 nucleotides) under Inocybe vulpinella. Its description in RNAcentral is "partial 18S ribosomal RNA". It matches the Rfam family "Eukaryotic small subunit ribosomal RNA". Lineage: Eukaryota; Fungi; Basidiomycota; Agaricomycetes; Agaricales; Inocybaceae. The record is from RNAcentral.
AGUAAAGUCGUAACAAGGUUUCGUAGGUGAACCUGCGGAAGGAUCAUUA